AGAGUUUGAUCCUGGCUCAGAUUGAACGCUGGCGGCAUGCCUUACACAUGCAAGUCGAACGGUAACAGGGAGCUUGCUCCGCUGACGAGUGGCGAACGGGUGAGUAAUAUAUCGGAACGUGCCUGGUAAUGGGGGACAACUAGUCGAAAGAUUAGCUAAUACCGCAUACGCCCUACGGGGGAAAGAGGGGGAUUCGCAAGAACCUCUCGUUAUCAGAGCGGCCGAUAUCUGAUUAGCUAGUUGGUGAGGUAAAGGCUCACCAAGGCUUCGAUCAGUAGCUGGUCUGAGAGGACGACCAGCCACACUGGGACUGAGACACGGCCCAGACUCCUACGGGAGGCAGCAGUGGGGAAUUUUGGACAAUGGGCGCAAGCCUGAUCCAGCAAUGCCGCGUGAGUGAAGAAGGCCUUCGGGUUGUAAAGCUCUUUUGUCAGGGAAGAAAACGGUCUUGGUUAAUACCUGGGGCUAAUGACGGUACCUGAAGAAU
Molecule: ribosomal RNA, 487 nt
Filed under: uncultured bacterium
Lineage: Bacteria
Description: bacterial SSU rRNA
Rfam family: Bacterial small subunit ribosomal RNA
Source: RNAcentral